UCCUUUGUAGCUCAGUUGGUCAAGUAUCUGCCUGCAAUGCAGGAGACCCAGGUUCAAUUCUUGGGUCAGGAA
Molecule: transfer RNA, 72 nt
Filed under: Ovis aries (sheep)
Lineage: Eukaryota; Metazoa; Chordata; Mammalia; Artiodactyla; Bovidae
Rfam family: tRNA
About the family: Transfer RNA (tRNA) molecules are approximately 80 nucleotides in length. Their secondary structure includes four short double-helical elements and three loops (D, anti-codon, and T loops).
Source: Rfam by way of RNAcentral